This is a non-coding RNA of Pelobates cultripes (western spadefoot toad), 251 nucleotides long. Lineage: Eukaryota; Metazoa; Chordata; Amphibia; Anura; Pelobatidae. The record is from the annotation of a GenBank genome assembly.
GAGGGAAUGACUGGUGACAGAGUGAGAGAGGGGGUGAAUAGUGACCGAGUGAGGGAGGGAGAGGGUGACUAGUGACAGAGUGAGGAAGGGGGUGACACAGUGAUAGUCACCCCAUUCCUCCCUCUGUCACUAAUCACCACCUCCCUCACUCUCACUAGUCACCCCUUCCCUCCCUCACUCUGUCACUAGUCACACCCUCCCUCUCUCUGUCACUAGUCACACCCUCCCUCUCUCUGUCACUAGAGUGAGGG